UUCGUCAUAUGAACUUUAAGGUGUAUGAAGUUUCAUAUUUUAUUUUUUCAGCAAAACGAUAGAGACUUCAUUUAACUUAGGUUGGUCUAGGCCAGAGACAGACCUACGUCAAGAUAAUCCCACCUUUGAAACACUUUGGUAAUGCUCCCAAAUAAUGAAUCAGAGCACAUGGAGCCAUUUCCUUAUUUUUUUCUGUCAAGAAAAAAAUGGCAGACUAACUGAUAUUUAUAUCAGUUAAUGAAAGAGCCCAAUGCAAAAAAAAAAUGCAUGUUGGGUCUUUGAAACAGUUCAGAUCAUUUGAAUAAUAAUAAGUUUGACCUAUUUUACCGAGAAGGUUUACAGUUCGAGUCUGUAUAGCCCUAUAAAAAUGCAAAAUCAAAAAAA
This 384-nucleotide long non-coding RNA is filed under the name Nicotiana benthamiana. RNAcentral describes it as "long non-coding RNA (NBEN_LNC033730)". Lineage: Eukaryota; Viridiplantae; Streptophyta; Magnoliopsida; Solanales; Solanaceae. The record is from RNAcentral.